GGGCGCUUAGCUCAGUUGGUAGGGCGUCUGCCUUACAAGCAGCAUGUGGGUUGUUCGCUGCAUGUCGGCGGUUCGAUCCCGUCAGCGCCCACCA
Molecule: transfer RNA, 94 nt
Filed under: Acinetobacter baumannii
Lineage: Bacteria; Pseudomonadati; Pseudomonadota; Gammaproteobacteria; Moraxellales; Moraxellaceae
Description: tRNA-Val
Rfam family: tRNA
About the family: Transfer RNA (tRNA) molecules are approximately 80 nucleotides in length. Their secondary structure includes four short double-helical elements and three loops (D, anti-codon, and T loops).
Source: RNAcentral